RNAcentral lists this transfer RNA (82 nucleotides) under Dreissena polymorpha. It matches the Rfam family "tRNA". From Rfam's summary of the family: Transfer RNA (tRNA) molecules are approximately 80 nucleotides in length. The record is from Rfam by way of RNAcentral. Lineage: Eukaryota; Metazoa; Mollusca; Bivalvia; Myida; Dreissenidae.
GUAGCCGUGGCUGAGUGGUUAAGGCGAUAGACUUGAAAUCUUUUGGGAUUUUCCCGCGCAGGUUCGAAUCCUGCGGACAACG